Molecule: ribosomal RNA, 497 nt
Filed under: uncultured bacterium
Lineage: Bacteria
Description: partial 16S ribosomal RNA
Rfam family: Bacterial small subunit ribosomal RNA
Source: RNAcentral
GAUGAACGCUGGCGGCGUGCCUAAUACAUGCAAGUCGAGCGAACGGACGAGAAGCUUGCUUCUCUGAUGUUAGCGGCGGACGGGUGAGUAACACGUGGAUAACCUACCUAUAAGACUGGGAAAACUUCGGGAAACCGGAGCUAAUACCGGAUAAUAUUUUGAACCGCAUGGUUCAAAAGUGAAAGUCGGUCUUGCUGUCACUUAUAGAUGGUUCCGCGCUGCAUUAGCUAGUUGGUAAGGUAACGGCUUACCAAGGCAACUAUGCAUAGCCGACCUGAGAGGGUGGUCGGCCACAUGAGAACGGGGACAGGGUCCAGACGACUACGAGAGGGAGCAGUAGGGAAUCUGCCGCAAUAGGCGAGAGCCUGACGGAGUAACGCCGAGUGAGUGAUGAAGGUCUUCGGAUCGUAAAACUCUGUUAUUAGUGAAGAACAGAUGUGUAAGUAACUGUGCAGAGCUUGACGGUAACUAAUCAGAAAGCCACGGCUAACUACGUG